UACAGAGGUCUCAACCGUUGUUCGGAUUCAUUGGGCGUAAAGGGUGCGUAGGCGGUCGCGCAAGUCGGAUGUGAAAUCUCAGGGCUCAACCCUGAAACUGCAUUCGAUACUGCGUGGCUAGGGUACUGGAGAGGAGACUGGAAUUUACGGUGUAGCAGUGAAAUGCGUAGAUAUCGUAAGGAAGACCAGUGGCGAAGGCGAGUCUCUGGACAGUUACCGACGCUGAGGCACGAAGGCCAGGGGAGCAAACGGG
RNAcentral lists this ribosomal RNA (253 nucleotides) under uncultured bacterium. RNAcentral's name for it is "partial 16S ribosomal RNA". It matches the Rfam family "Bacterial small subunit ribosomal RNA", at positions 524 to 776 of the family's 1533-position model. The record is from RNAcentral.